AAACUCAAAUGAAUUGACGGGGAGCACCACAACGGGUGGAGCUUGCGGUUUAAUUGGAUUCAACGCCGGAAAAUCUUACCGGGACCGAACAGCAAUAUGAAGGCCAGGCUGAGGACUUUGCCGGAUUAGCUGAGAGGUGGUGCAUGGCCGUCGUCAGUUCGUACUGUGAAGCAUCCUGUUAAGUCAGGCAACGAGCGAGACCCACGCCCACAGUUGCCAGCGUACUCUCUGGAGUGACGGGUACACUGUGGGGACCGCCGCUGCUAAGGCGGAGGAAGGAAUGGGCAACGGUAGGUCAGUAUGCCCCGAAUAUCCCGGGCUACACGCGAGCUACAAUGGUUGGUACAAUGGGUAUCUACCCCGAAAGGGGAAGGAAAUCUCUUAAAGCCAAUCGUAGUUCGGAUUGAGGGCUGCAACUCGCCCUCAUGAAGCUGGAAUCCGUAGUAAUCGCGUUUCAACAGAACGCGGUGAAUACGUCCCUGCUCCUU
Molecule: ribosomal RNA, 488 nt
Filed under: uncultured Methanosaeta sp.
Lineage: Archaea; Methanobacteriati; Methanobacteriota; Methanomicrobia; Methanotrichales; Methanotrichaceae
Description: bacterial SSU rRNA
Rfam family: Archaeal small subunit ribosomal RNA
Source: RNAcentral